RNAcentral lists this ribosomal RNA (292 nucleotides) under uncultured bacterium. RNAcentral describes it as "partial 16S ribosomal RNA". It matches the Rfam family "Bacterial small subunit ribosomal RNA", at positions 505 to 796 of the family's 1533-position model. The record is from RNAcentral.
GUGUCAGCAGCCGCGGUAAGACGAACCGAGCGAACGUUAUUCGGAAUCACUGGGCUUAAAGGGCGCGUAGGCGGGUGGCCAAGUCUAUGGUGAAAUCCUCCAGCUUAACUGGAGAACUGCCGUGGAUACUGGUCAUCUCGAGGAAGGUAGGGGCAUCUGGAACUGGUGGUGGAGCGGUGAAAUGCGUUGAUAUCAUCAGGAACUCCGGUGGCGAAGGCGAGAUGCUGGACCUUUUCUGACGCUGAGGCGCGAAAGCCAGGGGAGCAAACGGGAUUAGAAACCCCCGUAGUCC